Molecule: long non-coding RNA, 230 nt
Filed under: Capsicum annuum
Lineage: Eukaryota; Viridiplantae; Streptophyta; Magnoliopsida; Solanales; Solanaceae
Description: long non-coding RNA (CANN_LNC008353)
Source: RNAcentral
GUAAACAGAAAAAUUGGUCAAUUAAGGCUCAAAUAUUUGGAUCGAAGGGAUUCCUGAUUUAUUUGGCUGGGCAUUUAGGCUCAAGUGAAGUUAAAAUAAAAAUGGCCUAUGAUCAUUUUCUACUUGACUAUCCUAGACCUAGGUAAAAGCAACCGGGCAAGUUCUAGAUUCCUACACACUGAGAACUCAGUAAUACCUAACACACACUUGCACAAGGUUACAUUGCUAAG